This 362-nucleotide ribosomal RNA is filed under the name uncultured cyanobacterium. RNAcentral's name for it is "bacterial SSU rRNA". It matches the Rfam family "Bacterial small subunit ribosomal RNA", at positions 408 to 784 of the family's 1533-position model. The record is from RNAcentral. Lineage: Bacteria; Bacillati; Cyanobacteriota.
AGGAAGGCUCUUGGGUUGUAAACCUCUUUUCUCAGGGAAGAACAAAAUGACGGUACCUGAGGAAUAAGCAUCGGCUAACUCCGUGCCAGCAGCCGCGGUAAUACGGAGGAUGCAAGCGUUAUCCGGAAUGAUUGGGCGUAAAGCGUCCGCAGGUGGCAUUGAAAGUCUGCUGUCAAAGAGUCUGGCUCAACCAGAUAAAGGCAGUGGAAACUACAAAGCUAGAGUACGUUCGGGGCAGAGGGAAUUCCUGGUGUAGCGGUGAAAUGCGUAGAGAUCAGGAAGAACACCGGUGGCGAAAGCGCUCUGCUAGGCCGUAACUGACACUGAGGGACAAAAGCUAGGGGAGCGAAGGGGAUUAAAUA